This 254-nucleotide ribosomal RNA is filed under the name uncultured bacterium. Its description in RNAcentral is "partial 16S ribosomal RNA". It matches the Rfam family "Bacterial small subunit ribosomal RNA", at positions 524 to 776 of the family's 1533-position model. The record is from RNAcentral.
UACGGGGGGAGCAAGCGUUGUUCGGAUUUACUGGGCGUAAAGGGCGCGUAGGCGGCCACCGCAAGUCAAUUGUGAAAUCUCCGGGCUUAACUCGGAAAGGUCAACUGAUACUGCGGGGCUAGAGUGCGGAAGGGGCAACUGGAAUUCUCGGUGUAGCGGUGAAAUGCGUAGAUAUCGAGAGGAACACCUGCGGCGAAGGCGGGUUGCUGGGCCGACACUGACGCUGAUGCGCGAAAGCGUGGGGAGCGAACAGG